GCUGGGCAUGGUUGUGCACGCCUGUAAUUCCAGCAGCUCAGGAGGCUGAGGCAGGAGGAUUGCAAGUUAAAAGCCAGCCUUAGCAACUUACUGAGGCCCUAAGCAAUUUAGGGAGACCUUGUCUCAA
This 127-nucleotide small RNA is filed under the name Marmota monax (woodchuck). The record is from RNAcentral. Lineage: Eukaryota; Metazoa; Chordata; Mammalia; Rodentia; Sciuridae.